RNAcentral lists this ribosomal RNA (467 nucleotides) under uncultured bacterium. RNAcentral's name for it is "partial 16S ribosomal RNA". It matches the Rfam family "Bacterial small subunit ribosomal RNA", at positions 28 to 506 of the family's 1533-position model. The record is from RNAcentral.
GACGAACGCUGGCGGCGUGCUUAACACAUGCAAGUCGAACGGAAAGGCCCUGCUGUUGUGGGGUGCUCGAGUGGCGAACGGGUGAGUAACACGUGAGUAACCUGCCCUUGACUUCUGGAUAACUUCAGGAAACUGGGGCUAAUACCGGAUAGGAGCUCCGGCUUCAUGGUGGGUGUUGGAAAGUUUCGGCGGUUGGGGAUGGACUCGCGGCUAAUCAGCUUGUUGGUGGGGUAGUGGCUUAGCAUGUCUUUGACGGGUAGCCGCCCUGAGGGGGUGGACAGACACAUUGGAAACGAGCUACGGCCCGGACUCGUACGGGAGGCAGAAGUGGGGAAUAUUGGACCAUGGGCGGAAGCGUGAUGGAGGAACGCCGCGUGCGGGAAGACGGCCUUCGGGGUGUAAGCCGCUUUGGCGUGUGACGAAGCGUGAGUGACGGUAAUGGAGAGAGAAGAACCGGCUAAUUACGU